CCUACGGGUGGCAGCAGUGAGGAAUAUUGGUCAAUGGACGAGAGUCUGAACCAGCGAAGUAGCGUGAAGGAUGACUGCCCUAUGGGUUGUAAACUUCUUUUAUAUGGGAAUAAAACGUUCCACGUGUGGGAUUUUGUAUGUACCAUAUGAAUAAGGAUCGGCUAACUCCGUGCCAGCAGCCGCGGUAAUACGGAGGAUCCGAGCGUUAUCCGGAUUUAUUGGGUUUAAAGGGAGCGUAGGUGGAUUGUUAAGUCAGUUGUGAAAGUUUGCGGCUCAACCGUAAAAUUGCAGUUGAAACUGGCAGUCUUGAGUACAGUAGAGGUGAGCGGAAUUCGGGGUGUAGCGGUGAAAUGCUUAGAUAGCACGAAGAACUCCGAUUGCGAAGGCAGUUCACUGGACUGCAACUGACACUGAGGCUCGAAAGUGUGGGUAUCAAACAGGAUUAGAUACCCGUGUAGUC
Molecule: ribosomal RNA, 460 nt
Filed under: uncultured bacterium
Lineage: Bacteria
Description: partial 16S ribosomal RNA
Rfam family: Bacterial small subunit ribosomal RNA
Source: RNAcentral